UACGGAGUUAGCCGGUGCUUAUUCAUACUGUACCUUCAGCUACUUACACGUAAGUAGGUUUAUCCCAGUAUAAAAGAAGUUUACAACCCAUAGGGCCUUAGUCCUUCACGCGGGAUGGCUGGAUCAGGCUCUCACCCAUUGUCCAAUAUUCCUCACUGCUGCCUCCCGUAGGAGUCUGGUCCGUGUCUCAGUACCAGUGUGGGGGAUCACCCUCUCAGGCCCCCUAAAGAUCAUUGACUUGGUGAGCCGUUACCUCACCAACUAUCUAAUCUUGCGCGUGCCCAUCUCUAUCCACCGGAGUUUUCAAUAUAUUACGAUGCCGUAAAAUAUAUUAUGGGAUAUUAAUCUUCCUUUCGAAAGGCUAUCCCCCAGAUAAAGGCAGGUUGCACACGUGUUCCGCACCCGUGCGCCGCUCUCAAAGAUCCGAAGAUCUUCUACCGCUCGGCUUGCAUGUGUUAGGCCUCCCGCUAGCGUUCAUCCUGAGCCAGGAUCAAACUCU
Molecule: ribosomal RNA, 499 nt
Filed under: uncultured Chryseobacterium sp.
Lineage: Bacteria; Pseudomonadati; Bacteroidota; Flavobacteriia; Flavobacteriales; Weeksellaceae
Description: partial 16S ribosomal RNA
Source: RNAcentral